GUGCAGAGACUAAGAUGUGGCAGGAAGAUGGUUCUAAUUCCUUAUCCAUUGCUAAGCGAAGAAGUAAGAUCAAUAAGUUUUAACCCUCGAACAUGGCUUUUUUUGUUAAAUUCUUAAGUGAAAUUUUGGUCUGUUAAGUCGAACAAUCAGAUCAAUUUUAAACAGAUUAAGGUGAAGAGGAAUUUGAUGGAAGAGAAAUCAUUAAAGGACGAUGGGGUUAUUAAAUAGAACAAAUGUAUAUAUUUUGCGGUUUGUGAUUUGGUAGGUUUGGAGAUGGGUGUUCAUAGGUGGGAAGUUGAACUCAAGGUGUUCAAUGUAAGUCCUAAACUAACUUUCUGCUUUUUAUUUUGGCUUAUUAAUGGUUAGAAAACUGAUUAAACUAAAAACCAAACCAAGUUUUGGUUAUUCGGUUCAGUUACACAAGUAUCCUAUUCGGUUUGGUUUUCGGUUAGGAACGAAUAAAAUCCAAAACGGAAAAAAGCGAACCAAAUAACCUGAAAAUUUUGAAAAAAGAAUUGACAAACACCUUAAUCCGUAAUCAAGGUGAGUUUUUUUGCCCGUUUCUAUUGUAGUUUCUAGCAAUUGAUUUCUUUUAAAAUAACGUUAUGAUUUUGCUUUCAGGUAUUGUUCCUUUCAUCUUAAUUGAAUGGGUACGAAUGUUGAAACAAUCAAAUAGAAUUGUGACAAGAAACAAUCAAACAAAAUCAGUUUUGGUGGGUCUUUAAUGUGUUGUCAAAAAGGCUUUUGGUCUUGGUGGCUGGCAUUGGUCUUCAUGGCUGGCAAUGGCUGGGUGUUCGCUAUUCUUUUGUUUUUCUUAUGUUUGUUUAAAUUUCAUAGUAAUUUAGGGGAAAAGGGGGAAAUAACAUGCCAAGAUGAUUAAAAUUGUAUAUCCAUAAGGCUGUCACAGUUUGAUUUUUUUUUAAUAAUGUUGUUAGUUCUAUGUAGGAACCGGAGGAAAAAAGCUUGAUACAAUAAGCUAACAAUUUAAAAGUUAGGUUUGAUAGGAUUUCUAUCAAGGAGGGAGUUGACCAUUUAGAUGGAGCUUGCGAUUAUAGUUACAACAGGACGAGGUAGCCGGAAGGGAUCUCCGUAUUGGCCCAAACAUAUGGCGAGCUAUCAAAAGAGGUGGAAGAGUUAAAGGAGAAUGACGAGAAUAGAGGCCAAUAUGCUACGUUUUGGAAUGAAUUUUGCAAAACGAUUAAACUUGGUAUCAUUGAGGAUGCAGUAACAGGAACCGUUAUUUGAGAUGUUGCUUCUGAAUGUAGCAAAUCACUAUCUUCAUAUCAUACUUCUAAUAUUAUGACUGCAAAAUAUUUUGCAAUACACCAUUGCUUUUUUCUGUAGGUUUUUGCACAUUUGUUGGUCGAUCCACAACAAGUAUUAGUGAUCUUUGUUACAAUUGCUUUGUGUCCUUAAUGGGUAAAAUGCGUCAAACAAAAACAAUAGCUACUAGGUAGUGGGUUGUUAACUGAAGCAACGGGUAGUGUAUGGAGACUGAAGAAAUCGAAUUCGGGGUUGUUUGGACACGAGCCAACGGCCGGUCAACUCUGGUCGAACAUAGUGGAGCGGGUCAAUGGGUCGUCAACAACACAGUUUACGCGGGGAAGGUUUCAAUUUACACAAUAAAUGCACAAAGAGUUGUUGAAGAAAGAAGCAACAUAAAAACAUGACGCUUUGGAGUAAACACACACAAUCAACUUCCCACUUAACUUGAAAACACAUAUGUUACAUUUCUUAAAGUUAUACAACGCGCUUUAGGUCCACUGUAGCAGGUGUUUGCGGAUGGAUGCCAUGUUACAAGGGAAACCAGAGACAAUAUAUUGUUUUUCAACCCGUGUACAAGGAAGUUUUUACUAGAAUUUGAAUGAUUUGUUACUUGUUUCUUUCAAAUGUAUGUGUUUUUAUACGAUACUAAAUUUCAAGAAAAAAUAAUUUGUUUUCUUUUUUGAAACCGCAUUUA
Helianthus annuus (common sunflower) is the source of this 1960-nucleotide long non-coding RNA. RefSeq lists it as uncharacterized. The record is from RefSeq and is a predicted model, not a curated record. NCBI's taxonomy places the organism in Eukaryota, Viridiplantae, Streptophyta, Magnoliopsida, Asterales, Asteraceae. The transcript is spliced from 8 exons.